AUGAACGCUAGCGGCAGGCUAACACAUGCAAGUCGAGGGGCAGCACAGGUAGCAAUACUGGGUGGCGACCGGCGGAUGGGUGCGUAACGCGUAUGCAACCUACCAUUGAUUGGGGCAUAGCCCGAAGAAAUUCGGAUUAAUACUCCAUAAUAUUCAUCAAAGGCAUCUUUUAUGAAUUAAAGCUUUUGCGAUCAAUGAUGGGCAUGCGUGACAUUAGUUAGUUGGUGAGGUAACGGCUCACCAAAACGAUGAUGUCUAGGGGUUCUGAGAGGAUUAUCCCCCACACUGGUACUGAGACACGGACCAGACUCCUACGGGAGGCAGCAGUGAGGAAUAUUGGUCAAUGGACGCAAGUCUGAACCAGCCAUGCCGCGUGCAGGAUGACGGCCCUAUGGGUUGUAAACUGCUUUUCCACGGGAAGAACCCUCCGACGUGUCGGAGACUGACGGUACCGUGGGAAUAAGCAUCGGCUAACUCCGUG
Molecule: ribosomal RNA, 481 nt
Filed under: uncultured bacterium
Lineage: Bacteria
Description: bacterial SSU rRNA
Rfam family: Bacterial small subunit ribosomal RNA
Source: RNAcentral